Molecule: ribosomal RNA, 491 nt
Filed under: uncultured bacterium
Lineage: Bacteria
Description: partial 16S ribosomal RNA
Rfam family: Bacterial small subunit ribosomal RNA
Source: RNAcentral
AGUGAACGCUGGCGGUAGGCCUAACACAUGCAAGUCGAACGGCAGCACAGUAAGAGCUUGCUCUUACGGGUGGCGAGUGGCGGACGGGCGAGGAAUACAUCGGAAUCUACUUUUUCGUGGGGGAUAACGUAGGGAAACUUACGCUAAUACCGCAUACGACCUACGGGUGAAAGCAGGGGAUCUUCGGACCUUGCGCGAUUGAAUGAGCCGAUGUCGGAUUAGCUAGUUGGCGGGGUAAAGGCCACCAAGGCGACGAUCCGUAGCUGGUCUGAGAGGAUGAUCAGCCACACUGGAACUGAGACACGGUCCAGACUCCUACGGGAGGCAGCAGUGGGGAAUAUUGGACAAUGGGCGCAAGCCUGAUCCAGCCAUACCGCGUGGGUGAAGAAGGCCUUCGGGUUGUAAAGCCCUUUUGUUGGGAAAGAAAAGCAGCAGGUUAAUACCCCGCUGUUCUGACGGUACCCAAAGAAUAAGCACCGGCUAACUUCGUG